GAUGAACGCUGGCGGCGUGCCUAAUACAUGCAAGUCGAGCGAACAGAUGAGGAGCUUGCUCCUCUGACGUUAGCGGCGGACGGGUGAGUAACACGUGGAUAACCUACCUAUAAGACUGGGAUAACUUCGGGAAACCGGAGCUAAUACCGGAUAAUAUAUUGAACCGCAUGGUUCAAUAGUGAAAGACGGUUUUGCUGUCACUUAUAGAUGGAUCCGCGCCGCAUUAGCUAGUUGGUAAGGUAACGGCUUACCAAGGCAACGAUGCGUAGCCGACCUGAGAGAGUGAUCGGCCACCCUGGAACUGAGACACGGUCCAGACUCCUACGGGAGGCAGCAGUAGGGAAUCUUCCGCAAAGGGCGAGAGCCUGACGGAGCAACGCCGCGUGAGUGAUGAAGGUCUUCGGAUCGUGAAACUCUGUUAUUAGGGAAGAACAAAUGUGUAAGUAGCUAUGCACGUCUUGACGGUACCUAAUCAGAAAGCCACGGCUAACUACGUG
Molecule: ribosomal RNA, 497 nt
Filed under: uncultured bacterium
Lineage: Bacteria
Description: partial 16S ribosomal RNA
Rfam family: Bacterial small subunit ribosomal RNA
Source: RNAcentral